RNAcentral lists this ribosomal RNA (759 nucleotides) under uncultured Enterobacteriaceae bacterium. Its description in RNAcentral is "bacterial SSU rRNA". It matches the Rfam family "Bacterial small subunit ribosomal RNA", at positions 28 to 776 of the family's 1533-position model. Lineage: Bacteria; Pseudomonadati; Pseudomonadota; Gammaproteobacteria; Enterobacterales; Enterobacteriaceae. The record is from RNAcentral.
AUUGAACGCUGGCGGCAGGCCUAACACAUGCAAGUCGAGCGGCAGCGGAAAGUAGCUUGCUACUUUGCCGGCGAGCGGCGGACGGGUGAGUAAUGUCUGGGAAACUGCCUGAUGGAGGGGGAUAACUACUGGAAACGGUAGCUAAUACCGCAUGACCUCGAAAGAGCAAAGUGGGGGAUCUUCGGACCUCACGCCAUCGGAUGUGCCCAGAUGGGAUUAGCUAGUAGGUGAGGUAAUGGCUCACCUAGGCGACGAUCCCUAGCUGGUCUGAGAGGAUGACCAGCCACACUGGAACUGAGACACGGUCCAGACUCCUACGGGAGGCAGCAGUGGGGAAUAUUGCACAAUGGGCGCAAGCCUGAUGCAGCCAUGCCGCGUGCGUGAAGAAGGCCUUAGGGUUGUAAAGCACUUUCAGCGAGGAGGAAGGCAUCAUACUUAAUACGUGUGGUGAUUGACGUUACUCGCAGAAGAAGCACCGGCUAACUCCGUGCCAGCAGCCGCGGUAAUACGGAGGGUGCAAGCGUUAAUCGGAAUUACUGGGCGUAAAGCGCACGCAGGCGGUUUGUUAAGUCAGAUGUGAAAUCCCCGCGCUUAACGUGGGAACUGCAUUUGAAACUGGCAAGCUAGAGUCUUGUAGAGGGGGGUAGAAUUCCAGGUAUAGCGGUGAAAUGCGUAGAGAUCUGGAGGAAUACCGGUGGCGAAGGCGGCCCCCUGGACAAAGACUGACGCUCAGGUGCGAAAGCGUGGGGAGCAAACAGG